RNAcentral lists this ribosomal RNA (459 nucleotides) under uncultured bacterium. Its description in RNAcentral is "partial 16S ribosomal RNA". It matches the Rfam family "Bacterial small subunit ribosomal RNA", at positions 338 to 795 of the family's 1533-position model. The record is from RNAcentral.
CCUACGGGAGGCAGCAGUGGGGGAUAUUGGACAAUGGGGGGAACCCUGAUCCAGCGACGCCGCGUGAGGGAAGAAUGUCCUAUGGAUUGUAAACCUCUUUUGUCAGGGAGCAAAGUCACCCACGUGUGGGUGUUGGAGAGUACCUGAAGAAAAAGCAUCGGCUAACUCCGUGCCAGCAGCCGCGGUAAUACGGAGGAUGCGAGCGUUAUCCGGAUUUAUUGGGUUUAAAGGGUGCGUAGGCGGGUUAUCAAGUCAGCGGUAAAAUCGUGGAGCUCAACUCCAUCCAGCCGUUGAAACUGAUGAUCUUGAGUGGGCGAGAAGUAUGCGGAAUGCGUGGUGUAGCGGUGAAAUGCAUAGAUAUCACGCAGAACUCCGAUUGCGAAGGCAGCAUACCGGCGCCCGACUGACGCUGAAGCACGAAAGCGUGGGUAUCGAACAGGAUUAGAUACCCCGGUAGUC